UUAAACAGGAUGGAUACUCUAGAUUUAGACAGGAUGGGUACUCUAGAUAUAAACAGGACCGGUACUCUAGAU
Non-coding RNA from Pangasianodon gigas (Mekong giant catfish), 72 nucleotides. Lineage: Eukaryota; Metazoa; Chordata; Actinopteri; Siluriformes; Pangasiidae. The record is from the annotation of a GenBank genome assembly.